AUGAAAUGAUCAUAUAUGUAGUAAAGAGUGGCCGGCCAUGUGGUGUUUUAGAGUGGUGUGAACCCAAAUUUUAUAAAAUUUAAAUGCCAUUUAAUUAAGAGGUCAAGUUGGCAAGUGGGUAGAAAAGCACUCAAGUACCUUGUGAUAUUUUGAAGAGUAUUGUGAACAAUUCCCACACUAAGAACCGAUCACUCUCCAUCUCUCAUUCACUAUCAUCUUUUUUGAAGACCUCUCAAAGUGUUCUCUCCAUUUUUCAAGCCCAAGAACACCAAGGAAACUUUGAGGCUAAGUCUUGGUCUAGGAAGUAUUUUUCCCUAAGGGUUUUUGAAAGGUUUUGGAGGAGCCAAAGCUAAUAGGAAGGUCCAAACCUUAAGCAAGAACACCAAAGAGUAUUGGCUAAGCGUAAUUGGACUGAACGUUGGAGGGUGAAACCCUGCUGAGCGCUAAGGACUCCAAGAUUUUUAUCUAGAUGUGAAUUAAUUUAUCCUUGGUUAUCAGGCAUGACCAUAAGUUUGCCAGGACGCUUUAGCAUUCUUGAAAUUGAUUGUGUAAGAACAAGGGAAAGGCAGAGCAGUGAGCGCUGGAGUCUUCCUUGCAAAUGUACAUGUGGACCGACCUUUUGGGGAAGCCUUUUUAUUUUUGGAAAUGUUGUGUAAUUUUCCUAAACUAGGCUCACUCUAAUCUUUAUAAAACAUGUUUGUAACUAAAUGUUAAGUAUGGCCAUACGACUUUUUAAAAAGUUUUUUUUUCUAUGGGUUUUUGAGACAUUUUGUUAAAUGAAAACAUUUAUAU
This is a long non-coding RNA of Humulus lupulus (European hop), 792 nucleotides long. RefSeq lists it as uncharacterized. The transcript has 5 exons. Lineage: Eukaryota; Viridiplantae; Streptophyta; Magnoliopsida; Rosales; Cannabaceae. The record is from RefSeq and is a predicted model, not a curated record.